Molecule: ribosomal RNA, 623 nt
Filed under: uncultured bacterium
Lineage: Bacteria
Description: bacterial SSU rRNA
Rfam family: Bacterial small subunit ribosomal RNA
Source: RNAcentral
UGCAAGUCGAACGGAGCUUAGAGAGCUUGCUUUUUAAGCUUAGUGGCGAACGGGUGAGUAACGCGUGAGUAACCUGCCCUAGAGUGGGGGACAACAGUUGGAAACGACUGCUAAUACCGCAUAAGCCCACGGUACCGCAUGGUACUGAGGGAAAAGGAUUUAUUCGCUUUAGGAUGGACUCGCGUCCAAUUAGCUAGUUGGUGAGGUAACGGCCCACCAAGGCGACGAUUGGUAGCCGGACUGAGAGGUUGAACGGCCACAUUGGGACUGAGACACGGCCCAGACUCCUACGGGAGGCAGCAGUGGGGGAUAUUGCACAAUGGGGGAAACCCUGAUGCAGCGACGCCGCGUGGAGGAAGAAGGUUUUCGGAUUGUAAACUCCUGUCGUUAGGGACGAUAAUGACGGUACCUAACAAGAAAGCACCGGCUAACUACGUGCCAGCAGCCGCGGUAAAACGUAGGGUGCAAGCGUUGUCCGGAAUUACUGGGUGUAAAGGGAGCGCAGGCGGGAAGACAAGUUGGAAGUGAAAACCAUGGGCUCAACCCAUGAAUUGCUUUCAAAACUGUUUUUCUUGAGUAGUGCAGAGGUAGGUGGAAUUCCCGGUGUAGCGGUGGAAUGCGUA